UGUUACUUGUUGUUUUGUUUCCCUUUAACACUAUCAAUUUAGAAGUUUCUCUCUGACAAGUGUUUAGGAAGCUCCGUUUUUGUUAGCAAAGGUAUCCUGCUGCUGAGGAAUAAAUUGCUAUCAACAAGAUGGUCACUUUAAACCCUUUUUGCACACUGAUCAUUGUGUUUUCUAGGCUGUCCAGCUUUAAAAUAAGUAUGACUAAAAAAUAGAAAAACUUAAUUCUUAUUCAAAUUAUCUCAUUUCCCUAUUUAUAUUUUUAAAAUACAAACACAGAAAUCUGUUGACUCCCAGAUGUGGGUAUGAUAUCCCCAUGUUAAUAAUCUUUGUUAGAACUUGUACCUUAGAUUUGGGGGGGAAAAGUCCACCUAUUGAUGAUCCCUUAAAAUCCUUCAAAGUUCUUGAUGAACUUAGGGUCAUUUUUCCAAUCAGAAAACUAAGAAUAAAUGUUCCUCAGCCUGCCCUGCUGGCCUUAAUUUACGUAUCAGCUUACGUAUCUCGGCGCUUGACUCUCCUGCUUGACUGAGUGAACAAACUGCUGUAUUGGGCACAGUGUUAGGGUCAGCUUAGAUCAUGGACCUUGUUCUAUAUGUAAACAUCAAACUCUUACCACAGAGCUAUGAUAAAGCAUUACAUCUCCGUUGGAAUCAAAGGGUUGCUUUUUCCCACUUCUGUUUCUUAUGAAGGACUUUAGGUCAUUAAAUGUCCGUUCUCAUUCUUUUAACAGGUUUGAGGUUUUUUUUUUUUAGUUAAUCCAAAGACAUAAUGCUUUAAAGUGUGCAAAUUAUAGUUUUAUCGAUUACCUCAGCAGGUAUCCUGCCAUGUAAUUAUUAGUGGUUUAAUGCUAGUAAGCUAACAGAUUCAGGUCUUCCGUCUAUGCCCUUAAGUUGUGGCUUACCACUUGUUUUUUCUAAAAUGUGGAUGGGGAAUAGAUGCUGUAGUCUCCUCUCCCUUAGCCUUUACAUCUGGUACCCAGCCUCAUUCACGUACACGUAAAGUAGCCAGCAUCAGAUUGGGUCAGUAAAUAGUUUUGUUAAUUAAAAAAAUUAAGAAGACAAAAGACUACCCUCCCUGAGUUGAAACAGCUUCUUUGAGUGAGCUGGGGAGAUGACAUGGGUAAAAAGCACGUGUUCCACAAGCAUGAGGCUCUAACUUUGAAUCCCCAGCACCUACAUACAGGUGGGUGCAGUAGUGUGUAUCUGUAAGCCCGGGGCUCCCACGGAAAGGUAGGCAGAGGUAGUCUCCAGAAGCCCAUUGGCCAGCUAGCCUGGCCUACUCAGUGCUGAGUCCCCGAAGUUGUUCUCUGACCUGCACCCUAGCACAUGCGCCCUCACACACAACAUACACCCUGGUGUACAUGCCAUCACACAACUUGUGAGUAUAUACACCACACAUGUGCCCUCAAAACGUACAAGUGGAUACACCAUUUUUGCCUCCUUACUAAUUAUCUGCUGAAGGUGUUUAAGAUUUUUAAAGUGUAUUGAAGUUGGAUCAUAAACCUAACCUAGACGUUAACUUGUUUCUCUCAGUUAAUACUUCCUUGAUAAAGCAAUAACACUGCUUCGAGUCUGUUGCCUAGUAAAUAGCAUGUCAUGAUCCUUCCGGAUGGUGAUUUUAUAGGAAAGUUUGUAUGCACAUCACCCAAUCUAUCUUUUAAAAAAAAUUAAGAAAUUUAAAUGUAUGCUGGAAGUAAUGACCCUAUAUUGUGGCAUUUUAUUUUAAAAAAUUGGGGAAAAUUGCAUAUUUUUUUAAAAGUAGCUGUUUGAGUAAAAAAAAAACUGAAGGUACUUUUUUAAGGAAAAAAUUUAUAUGCCACAGUUUACAUAGACAUUUCCAAUAUCAGCAUUUACUCUUGGAUACAAUGGCUUCUUUACUUGGCUAAAUGCAUGUUUUCUUUGGUCAAAAGUGCAUCUCUGAGAUCUUAGUUACUUAUGUUUCCUUACAUUAUCCUUCAUAUAUUUUUAUUGUAUCUAGAAACAAUUAUCUUUAAAAAAUAAGCUGGGCAUAUUUGUCAAACUACAGAAUGUAUAGAAUCAAGGUUAUCCCUUUUCUAGCAAGUGUUAUUUAAAACUGAAAAUGAUACUUGUUACAUUCAAGAGAUUUCUACGAAGGCACCAAAAUGAUUUUUAAAUGUCACAAUGCUCCAUUUGUGGCUAAAUUUCAUUGUUUAGAAUGCCUGCUCCUGCUCUGAAAAAUGUAGGCAUUUACUAUGCUUUAACGCAGUGAGUGAUAGAUGCACACCUGUAAUAUGAGGUGUGCGCAAUUAGAAAGCCUGUUGAUUUUCUACGUGGACAUAUACCUACACACAAAGGAUUAAACUCACAGCCUUACGAGUUCCUUGCUUCCAGGAUUUCAACUGGUCUCCCCUCAUUACUACUAUUUUUGCACAUAGUUAAACUACCCUUCAGAAUGGUUCUUUAAAAGUGCUGUUUCUGUGGUAUUGUAUUCUCUAAAUGAUCAUAUUUAAUUUUUUAAACAAGGUUACAAUUUCUAAUUGUUCUGUUCCUGUGUUUUUUGCUGAGUGUAAUAAAAGCAAAUUUUUUCUUUUUAUGGUUAUUUAAUACAUUAGCUGCCUGUAAAUAAUUCUUGUUACAAUGCUCUGGAAUGUGUUGUAGAAGUUGUACUAGAUUAGUUUGAAGCCUUGUUUAAAACCCACAUUGUUUUGGCUAUUUCUAUUAAAUCUAGAAAAUUG
Molecule: long non-coding RNA, 2692 nt
Filed under: Mus musculus (house mouse)
Lineage: Eukaryota; Metazoa; Chordata; Mammalia; Rodentia; Muridae
Description: long non-coding RNA chr3:103356064-103358756
Source: RNAcentral